This 72-nucleotide transfer RNA is filed under the name Ilumatobacter sp. Its description in RNAcentral is "tRNA-Lys". It matches the Rfam family "tRNA". From Rfam's summary of the family: Transfer RNA (tRNA) molecules are approximately 80 nucleotides in length. Their secondary structure includes four short double-helical elements and three loops (D, anti-codon, and T loops). Further hydrogen bonds mediate the characteristic L-shaped molecular structure. tRNAs have two regions of fundamental functional importance: the anti-codon, which is responsible for specific mRNA codon recognition, and the 3' end, to which the tRNAs corresponding amino acid is attached (by aminoacyl-tRNA synthetases). tRNAs cope with the degeneracy of the genetic code in two manners: having more than one tRNA (with a specific anti-codon) for a particular amino acid; and 'wobble' base-pairing, i.e. permitting non-standard base-pairing at the 3rd anti-codon position. The record is from RNAcentral. RNAcentral also lists the same sequence under 3 other names. Lineage: Bacteria; Bacillati; Actinomycetota; Acidimicrobiia; Acidimicrobiales; Ilumatobacteraceae.
GCGCCUCUAGCUCAAUGGCAGAGCAGCGGGCUUUUAACCCGUUGGUUCAGGGUUCGACCCCCUGGGGGCGCA